UGGGCUACGCCAAGGUAGGCAGAUAAGUUUCUUGCUAAACUUAUCCACGCUGGUUCAAUUCCAGCUAGCUCAACCA
This 76-nucleotide transfer RNA is filed under the name Priestia flexa. RNAcentral describes it as "tRNA-OTHER". Lineage: Bacteria; Bacillati; Bacillota; Bacilli; Caryophanales; Bacillaceae. The record is from RNAcentral.